Molecule: ribosomal RNA, 491 nt
Filed under: uncultured bacterium
Lineage: Bacteria
Description: partial 16S ribosomal RNA
Rfam family: Bacterial small subunit ribosomal RNA
Source: RNAcentral
AGUGAACGCUGGCGGUAGGCCUAACACAUGCAAGUCGAACGGCAGCACAGUAAGAGCUUGCUCUUACGGGUGGCGAGUGGCAGACGGGUGAGGAAUACAUCGGAAUCUACUUUUUCGUGGGGGAUAACGUAGGGAAACUUACGCUAAUACCGCAUACGACCUACGGGUGAAAGCAGGGGAUCUUCGGACCUUGCGCGAUUGAAUGAGCCGAUGUCGGAUUAGCUAGUUGGCGGGGUAAAGGCCCACCAAGGCGACGAUCCGUAGCUGGUCUGGGAGGAUGAUCAGCCACACUGGAACUGAGACACGGUCCAGACUCCUACGGGAGGCAGCAGUGGGGAAUAUUGGACAAUGGGCGCAAGCCUGAUCCAGCCAUACCGCGUGGGUGAAGAAGGCCUUCGGGUUGUAAAGCCCUUUUGUUGGGAAAGAAAAGCAGCAGGUUAAUACCCCGCUGUUCUGACGGUACCCAAAGAAGAAGCACCGGCUAACUUCGU